GACGAACGCUGGCGGCGUGCUUAACACAUGCAAGUCGAACGGAAAGGCCCUGCUUUUGUGGGGUGCUCGAGUGGCGAACGGGUGAGUAACACGUGAGUAACCUGCCCUUGACUUUGGGAUAACUUCAGGAAACUGGGGCUAAUACCGGAUAGGAGCUCCUGCUGCAUGGUGGGGGUUGGAAAGUUUCGGCGGUUGGGGAUGGACUCGCGGCUUAUCAGCUUGUUGGUGGGGUAGUGGCUUACCAAGGCUUUGACGGGUAGCCGGCCUGAGAGGGUGACCGGCCACAUUGGGACUGGGAUACGGCCCAGACUCCUACGGGAGGCAGCAGUGGGGAAAAUUGCACAAUGGGCGGAAGCCUGAUGCAGCAACGCCGCGUGCGGGAUGACGGCCUUCGGGUUGUAAACCGCUUUCGCCUGUGACGAAGCGUGAGUGACGGUAAUGGGUAAAGAAGCACCGGCUAACUACGUG
RNAcentral lists this ribosomal RNA (468 nucleotides) under uncultured bacterium. RNAcentral describes it as "partial 16S ribosomal RNA". It matches the Rfam family "Bacterial small subunit ribosomal RNA", at positions 28 to 507 of the family's 1533-position model. The record is from RNAcentral.